GUAGGGUGCAGGCGUUAAUCGGAAUUACUGGGCGUAAAGCGUGCGUAGGCGGUUUGUUAAGACAGGUGUGAAAUCCCCGGGCUUAACCUGGGAACUGCGCUUGUUACUGGCAGACUGGAGUGUGGCAGAGGGGGGUGGAAUUCCAGGUGUAGCAGUGAAAUGCGUAGAUAUCUGGAGGAACACCGAUGGCGAAGGCAGCCCCCUGGGCUAACACUGACGCUGAUGCACGAAAGCGUGGGGAGCAAACAGGAUUAGAUACCCUGGUAGUCCACGCCCUAAACUAUGUCAACUGGUUGUCGGGGAAGAAAUUCCUUGGUAACGAAGCUAACGCGUGAAGUUGACCGCCUGGGGAGUACGGCCGCAAGGUUA
Molecule: ribosomal RNA, 369 nt
Filed under: uncultured bacterium
Lineage: Bacteria
Description: bacterial SSU rRNA
Rfam family: Bacterial small subunit ribosomal RNA
Source: RNAcentral